RNA transcript from Dermochelys coriacea (leatherback sea turtle), 4972 nucleotides. It is a transcript of the gene named IDNK gluconokinase, with no coding region annotated. Lineage: Eukaryota; Metazoa; Chordata; Testudines; Dermochelyidae. The record is from RefSeq and is a predicted model, not a curated record. The transcript is spliced from 8 exons.
GGCCCCCCGCUGGCGCGGAGCGGCACAGCACAGCACAGCGGCGGAGAAAGGCCGCUGUGUCUUUCCAGGGGCAGAGCCGGAGGCGCGGCAGGGAGGAGGGGCAGAGCAGAGAGACCGCGGAGGCGGGACGGCGGCAGGGGCUGGCCGCGGAGAAGGAGCCGGCAGGGCGAGAGGCUGCUGCGGCCGGGCUCGGCAUGGUGCUGCUGGCGCCGAUGGGAGUGAGCGGCUCGGGGAAAUCCACUGUUGGGUCACAGCUGGCAGCUAAGCUGGGAUGGAAAUUCUAUGAUGCUGAUGAUUAUCAUCCUACAGAGAACACAAAGAAAAUGGCACAAGGAAUACCACUAAAUGACCAGGACAGGAUUCCAUGGCUUUGCAAAUUACAUGAUAUAUUAAUGAGAGAAGAGUCAGCUGGACAAAGUGUGAUUCUGGCCUGUUCGGCUCUGAAGAAAAUGUAUAGAUGCAUAUUAGUAAGUGGACGGGAUGCUGUGUAUUCUAAGAGUGAUCAGCUAGAGGAACAAGGAGACUCUGCCACAAGGAAGAUCCUUUUUAUCCAUUUGGAUGGAUCUAUGGAACUCAUCACCAGCCGCCUGGAGAAGAGGAGAGGACACUUUAUGGCACCCGAACUACUACAGUCUCAGUUUGAUAUACUGGAGCCUCCGUCAGCACCAGAAAACUUUAUCACUGUGAGUCUGGAAAAGUCUGUUUCUGAAAUAGUAUCUGAAAUUGAGAAAUAUCUUCACUUAAAGAAAUGCUUUUCCAGAGCAGUCUCUGAAUUAGAUGCACAUUAAUACUUUUAACCAUGUCGUAUUUGUGGAACAGCAUUUUGCUUGCUUUCUCAAGUUAACCAGCAUGGUUUGCAGUAUUAACUUCAUUGGCUUGACAUACUUUAAAGGGACUAGAACACUACUAUUACUGAUGUUUUCAUUAAGACCUGUUCAAACCUGGAGCUACAAUUUUCAGAAGUGAAUGGUAUUUGCCUAACUCUUUGUCCAUUUAAAUCACAGGCAAAACUCCCAUUGGCUUUGAUAGAAACAGGAGUAGGUCAACACCGAGUGCUUCUGACAAACCCACCCUAGGGGAUUUAGACAGAACAUGAAAAUCUCAACAAAUUUAGAUUUCACUUUUUUCCUGCCAAAACACAAAAUUGACCACAGUCUUCACUACUGAUAUUUAAGUGUUGAAUAGACACUUGAAAGGUGAACAUCCUUUUAAGAGGAGGCAGAGUUCUCUAAUAGUGCAGAGGGGCAGGAACUUGGACAGCAGAGUUCAGGUCCUGACUCCACCAUUAGCUCCAUGCCUGAUCUGGAACAAAUCACAACCUCUCUGUCUGUGUCCUCAUCUGUGAAAAUUGCUUACCUUACAGGGGUAUUGUGAGACUUCAUUGAUUCUGACUUAAACACCUUGAACUACUGUGGGAAAGAGGGCAUGUAACUGCAAAGUAUUAUUCUACCUAAAUCUUUAACAAUAAACUAAGUAGCACUGUAUUGACUGUGAUUUAGUCUUUCAUAUGCAAAAUAUAUAUACAAUGAAACAGGAGAGAGAAUGAUUCAGCCAAUGAGGUAAGAUUUAUGUACCACUGGGUUCAUCAGUUCAGACCUGAUGAAUGUUCUCUCCCUUCAGCUUGACUGGCAAGCAGCUGUUUAACAUGACUUUUUCUGGCACCCUCACCUGCUACCGUAAUAGCCUCACUCUAGCCUCUAAUGCUCAAGCUGUAUCACAAAGCCUGACUUCGCUGUAAUAAAAAUUCAGAGCUGGUGCGAGGAAGAGCCAUGGUGAAAACUCCCCUAAUAAGGGAGUAUCCCACUUCAAGUAGGUGGCGUGCACAUUGCUCCCCACAGACAGUCUUUGGAUUUCAUAGAUACACACAAGCAAUUAAUCAUAUUAUUUUCAGUGUCCCUCCCCAACUGAGCCAGUGAAUUAAGGUUCUUUGUUAGUCAUUUAAAAAUGUACACACCAAAGGCCGUGCUCCUUAUGAGAGUACUUAGAUUCAGAUGCAACUGUUCUUAAAAACUUGUUUACUUUCUCUUCAAUUUGUAAUGCUUUGUAGGCGUUAAAGUCCUUAUUAAAGUUAAGACUAUACAACUACGGUCUUGAGUAGUCUUAGUGGAGACAAUGGACUCCUCCUGUGUAAAGAUAUUCUCAUACAUAUGUGUUUGCAGGAUAAGGGCCUAGGACAGCUACAUACAAUCAUUACUCUCAAUCCAGUAUAUUCAUGGCCAGUCUAUUAAACAAAACUAUUGAACAACAACAAAAACCCUCAUUAGAACAAUAAGAUAAAAAUAAUUAAAUAUACUUGGAAAUUUUUGCAUAAAAAGUCACUUACAUAAUGCACAGAAUUUAAAGAAUAUGCAAGUGUGUUUAAUUUAUAUAUAUAUGUUUAAAAUACCGUUUAACAAUAGCUCAGUGAAUACUGGUUUGGACUUCCCAUACUACCUGAAACCAGCCCUCCACCCUGGUAUCUACCUCUUUAUUUUAACCUUGUAAGUCAUCAUAGGAUACAUUUUCUAUGAGAGAUGCUCUUCAAGAGAAGUAAUAUUAUGAAGAACCUUUUGAUAUAUUGCUUUGUAUAUAUUACCCCCAUUAGUGCUCUCCUCCCAAUUUAGGACCUUGAUUAACGCGACUAGCUCACUCCUUUUCAGGCAAGGAUGGUGGUGUUCAAAGACAUCUUUGGGGAAAUUAAUCGAAUCAUUAGCUGGGUUACCAGUUAAAAAUGUGUUUAUAGCUUUUUCUAAUAGAAGUUAGAUUUGCUCUUGUGGUACACCAAAGAAAUACUAACACUGCCUCCUUGGCACAAUGCUAUGAAUGAGCUUUGUGGACAGCAGUGAUAGAGAACUCCUCUUUACCAGACAAAUCAAAAACUGAUAACUAUCUGGUGGGUAUUUUCCCUGUAAGUGACACAGCCAAAAAUCAGACUGCAACAGACUGAUCCAUUUCUUUCUGUACUACUGUCUUGUAUAAAAUGCCCAUAAACCUAUUUAAUCCAACAUCUGUGUUCAAACUGUUUGCUUCAGUGUGAGGGAGUCCUGGACUAACAGCCAAUUCAUUUUAGAUUACUUUUUGCACAUCCUUCUUGUUUGUUAUAAGAAAAACAAAUUAGAAGCAGGCCCCAAUUAUAAGAUUAUGGUUCAGUGCAUCACAUUGAAAUGGCCAAAUGCAACAUUCCCAACACAUACUCAGGUAUUGUUGAGACCUAGAGUCUGGUUCAUGCCAACAUUAAAUUCAGGCAAAUGGCACCCUCUUGUGGUGAUUCCACUAGUUCAGAUCUACAUUUAAUAAAGUCACAGUUCUCCCAAUACAUGUACCCAGUGCAGUUCUAGAGGCAAAAGGCUUACUCUACCUACUACUGCACAGUGUUGAAGUUGUGCUUGGGUUUUAUCAAGUGAGGGCCAAAAAAAACAAAAAAAACCCACCCCAAUCACACAAUUCAGAACAUGUAACUGGUUUCCAAGUAGUAUGUCAGAUACAUCACAUCACAUAGUAUAUGAUCAAAAGUGAAAUUAACCCUCAGCCCUUCCCACCCAAAAACUAUAUUGGCUAAGAUUUUAAAUGAAUACCUAAAGUUAGAUUCCUAAGCAUUUACAUAGGCUCCUAGAUACAAGUGGCCUGAUUUCCAGAAGUGCUGAGCAUCCACAGAUUCCACUGAAGUCUUGGAUUCUCAGCACCUUUGAAAAUCAGUCCUCUUUUGUUUAACCCUAUAUUUAGGCACCCACAUUUGAAAGUCUGAACAGCUGUCUUUAUUAUUCCAACAAAAUGUUCUUUUUAAUUACAGUCCAGCUCAACCUCCUGAGGUCUGAGGCCUUUUUUCUGCAGCUGUAUUAGGAGAGCAGCAGCCAUUAGCCAAGAAGCAGUCACAUCCUCAUAUUUCCAUCUAAAUUACAUCAAAACAAUGUAAUUUGGGCUGUUACGAAGGGGCGCCUCCUAAUAGUAUCCACCAUCACAAAAUAAGCUGGGAAUCUCUUAAAAUGGUUAAAGAAAACUUUGCUUGAUGGCAUGCUGUCUGGCAAGAAAUCACUGAUCAACAGUUAGGGUGUGAAAUCUCUGCUUCUUUAUUGUUUUGCCUUUAUGGUCCCUACCUCUCUGUUGUUAUCUGAAUGGUCUCUGUCUGGUUCUUUGAUUGUUUCUGUCUGUUGCAUAACUAAUUUUGUAAGAUUUAAAAUCAACUAGGUGGUGAGUAAAGAAUGUCUGGUAAAGAAUUGUUUUAAAAUAUUAGAAAAUUGUUUAGUAAUAUUUUAGUAAAAUGAUUUGUUAAGGUACAGCUAAGCAGGACUCAAGUUUCAAUAUAUAAACUGGGGUCCAAAAGGAGAUUACUGGAACCAACUCAGGACACAGCCCCAAGAUCAGAGCUGCCAGACCUCAACACCCUGCUAAUCACACCAUGCAGAAGCUGGAGUCCCCGGAUGACCUGAUCCUGACUGGCCAUCAGGAAAAGUUCAUCUGCCUAUUAGGAGUGAUUAAAGCAAACACAGACUUCUGUUUCCAGUUCAAACAGCUAGCAAGAGGAAAAAACAUCAAACCAGCUAUCGAAGGAGCUCAGAUCCCAGUUGCAUCCUGCUACAGACUAACAGUGGCUAUAAAGAGUCUCCGCAGCCCUCCAGCACAUAUGAGAUCCCACCAAGAUUAGAGGAAUGUAUGAGGGAACCCAACAAGAAAUUUUUCAUUUUAAAAGAAGCCAGACAGCAAAAUUGAAAUGGCUGAACUGCAACUGAAUAGCAUCCUUCUCCCAGGGGAGUCUGCUGACCGGUUUAAGAACAUCUGUACCAAAAGCCGAUUGUUUUUGAAGUGACUACAGGAAGUGCUGCAUGUUUGAUGUGAUGUAAGGGAGCAAAGCAAGAUAAUCUGAUUGAGAAUCAUUUCCUUAAAAUAGUUCCUUCAACGUGUCAUUAACAGAUUGUUCUUGUAAAUGAAAUGAAGAGUUAAAUCCAAUGAUGCUGUGCUUUGGAGAUUUUUAAUAAACUCAUUGUUGGUUACUGAA